Callithrix jacchus (white-tufted-ear marmoset) is the source of this 622-nucleotide long non-coding RNA. RefSeq lists it as uncharacterized. The record is from RefSeq and is a predicted model, not a curated record. Lineage: Eukaryota; Metazoa; Chordata; Mammalia; Primates; Cebidae.
CUUACCAAGGCGGUGGCCGGCCUGGCGGCCGACGCUGCCCAAACAUUGAAUCAGGGUGUGAAUGGUAGCCGGGCUGGUGGGUGCCCGCGGGCCGGGCAGCUGCUCCAGUAGGUGGUCAGCGAGCUCGACGAAGAGGACAAAUACUAACAGUACCCAGCCCUGGGGACCUGGGUACCUGUGGCUGCAGGUGGGAGCUCCGAGAGGACAGUCUUGAGGCCAAUGCCAGCGAUGUCUCGUAGCUGCUCCUUGUCCGACCGCAUGUUGGCACACAGGGUGUCCACGAUGGUCUCCACCUGGUACUCCUUCACUUUACCCACCAGAGGACCCAGGCUGAGCAGAGAAUGGGGAGAUGGAGUUUUCACUCUUGUUGCCCAGGCUGGAAUGCAAUGGUAUAACCUUGGCUCACUGCAAUCUCUGCCUCCUGAGUUCAAGCGAUUCUCCUGCCUCUCAGCCUCCCAAGUAGCUGGGAUUACAAGUAUGCACCACCACACCCAGCUAAUUUUUGUAGGCUGACACUCACCACUUGACAGCCAGGUUCUGCACCUCACCGUUCUUGUCCUCCAGGAGCCGGAGCAGCAUCUUCACUACCUUGCGCUCACUGUCCUCGUCCAGCUGAAUGGAG